UGGAUUGUUUGAUUAAGUAAAACUGAGAAUCAGCUCUUAGUAAUUAUAAAGAAGUUAUAGUACGUUUUAUAGGCUUUCCAAAAAGUCUUGGAUCACCCCUUUUGGUGGUCUAGAAGUCAAGUUAUGGCUGUUUGAAAUGUAAUGUUUGAAUCUGUCAAAAAUCUAGACAGCAAUGUGUGUUUGAAUUAACUGACUUUGAUACACAUUGAAUCACCUUGAGAUGAUUAUAAAUGAAUUGUAGACAAUUAUAUUAGCUUUCUAAAAAGUCUAGGAUCACCUAAUUUGGAUGUCUGAAACUCCAGUUAUGGAAUUUUAAAGUGAGUGGUCGAAUUCUGUCCAAAUCUGGACAGAAAUUGCGUUUAGUACUGUUUGACAUUUCUAUAUGUCGAAUCUCACUGUAAUGAUAAUACCAAAAUUGUGGAGGACUUUAUAAGCUUUCCAAAAAGUCUUAGUUUACUAUUUUUGGAUGAAUAUUGUGUAAGUUAUGAAUAAAACAACUAGCUGCUGUUUUGCUGUCCAAAAUCAGCAAGCAUUAAGUGGAUUUCUUGAAGUUGCUCUUGUUUGGCUAGGUCAUUUUUUUACCCUUGAUUGAUGACAACUUGUUGCAUAUGAAGUGUUUAUCGAAAUGCCUUGUUAUAUUUGAUUAAUUCAUUUCCUUCUUAUUGUUUGACUAAGUAAAUUUAGUUAGUUCUUGAUUGAUGAAGUCUUGUACUUGCUAAAUUCAAGUGAACAAGUGUCCCAAGCUUAAGGUGCUAUACUCAGUAAUCUAAGGAAAGUAUGGAACACUUAUUAUAUUUCAUCUUGUAUGCUUUAGAUCUUUAAUUGUUGAGGAUGUAAAUUCUAUGGAACUUUAUGUUGUGUGAUAAGUGUUCUACUUGUGUGAUUGAAUAGAAAUGUGAUGAUUUAUUAGUUGGUGUGUUACAAUAAGUUAAUUUUGGAAAGAAGUUUAGGAAACUAGUUAAGCUACUCAUAUCUUUAAUCUAAGUCUGAGGUGACUAUCACUAGUGAACCUAAGUUCUAGUAAUCCUUUGAGAUGUACUGCUUUCUUGAUACUUGUGCCAGACCUUAUUGAAUUAGAAAGUUAGUUACAUGUGUUCUAUCACCUUUUCCAAGUUUUGAGUGUUAAAAAGUGACAAGUCUAAGGGUAAUAACCUAUCGAUGUUAUGCUUUAGCUUAAGGCUUGUGUUUAGUUAUGAUUUCCAAAUGUUUGAAUUAGGUCCCUCUAGCUCGAGGAUCAUGAUUGUUGUUAAUUCAAAGGUAUCUAGUGUUUGCCUAGGAGUUCUAAUGCCUUACUAGCAAUAUAUUACCCUCUUCGACAUAGUGUUAUUAUCUUGUAUUGUUUAUGAUUAUUCUCUCAUAUGCAUUAUGCAUAUCAUUUAGGUACGUUAAUUGAUCACGUGCUAUGGAAGACGAGUGGAAUUGAUCUCCAAGUGAUGCUGAUGGACGAAGCUAAAAUGGAUGAAUCAACCAAGUGUCAGGAUGGAAGAUGCUCACCAAGUGGUCGUCAAUUAACAACACUAACAUAGUGUUUAUCCCAGGCAAGCCCCGGUGCAUUUGCCACCUCCUUGUUGUUAUAAAACUUUUAUCACUUAUAUGUUGCAUUAGGUGAUAGGAGUUGAGUGAUGAAACAAUUGAUGCAAUGCCAUUCCUUGGAAUUUGAUUACUAUUCCUUGAUUCCUGUUUAUAAAAGAGAACUAAAGAUGCUUAGCCCUGCUUAGAUAAUUAAAAGUUGUUUCUUUUAAAAAGAUGAUGUGUUACACGGGAUAUGGGAAAUUGUUGUGAAAAAGAAAUUGGGAUGGUGAAUCCAUAUGGCCAUGAUGGAUUCAACAUCCAGAAAAAGUACCUCUGUCAGGUACCAAGGAUUGGGAAAUGGUUUAACUAAAAUGAGACCAGACGUUGAGCAGGAAAGGUCGCCCGUCUGUGUCGAUUAAGGACCGUUCCGAUUGUUGGCCUGCUGAUCUAGGACCCUUUAACUGGCCACAUGCCUCAUCAUGGGUAAGCUUAGCCUCGGUCGGACCAAUACCAGAACAGCUCGCACGCACUGGGAGUGGAGAGAUGGCGAGAGUAGCUUGUACCCUCCGUGGCAAGAGACUGGAAGGUGGGGUGCUGUACUCUCGGAAACAUGGCGGGCACCAUGGCGAGAGUAACGUGUACCAACCAGGCCAACGGCUGGAAGGUGGGGUGCUGUACUCUCGGAAACAUGGCGGGCACCAUGGCGAGAGUAACGUGUACCAACCAGGCCAACGGCUGGAAGGUGGGGUGCUGUACUCUCGGAAACAUGGCGGGCACCAUGGCGAGAGUAACGUGUACCAACCAGGCCAAUGGCUGGAUGGUGGAGUACUGUGCUCUCGGGUCGCGUGAACCUGUUUUGGUCUUGAGAAACCCGUGGGCGAGUUGACAUAUGCAAGGGUUAAGUGCUACAUAUGUCGUGUGGUUGGAGAUCCCCAGCUGGGUAUUAAUCGAUUCGGAUCGCCGUUACUUCUCGGAUAUGAAGACUGGAUCACUGCCCUGCAUCGUAGAUAACAAGUGAAACUAAAGUUGAUAAAAGGAAGCUAGUGUAGGACAAGUGAAUGCUCUAGAUUAGGCAAAUCUAGAUUCAGGAAAAGUACUUAACUUGUGAAGUAAAAUUUUGGCAUAAGGAUCCACUACUAGUAUGCUUGAAAGGGAAAUAGGCUUUAAACCUUUUCCUAAAUGAUUUUGGUGAUUGAAUGUCCAACACAAACAAUUGGACUAAUCAGUUUGCUCUAGAUUAUAUGUUCUACAGGUGCCCAAGAUUCAACAUGAAACCAAUAAAAAGAAUAAGACAAAAUAAAGGAGCAAAGGGGCAACCGAAGGCACCCCUGGUCUGGCGCACCGGACUGUCCGGUGUGCCACCGGACAGUGAACAGUACCUGUCCGGUGCACCAGGAAACGCAGACUCAAAACUCGCCACUUUCGGGAAAAUCCAGGGCCGGCGCGCUAUAAUUCACCGGACUGUCCGGUGUACACCGGACAGUGUCCGGUGCUCCAACGGAACGCGGCCUCAGGAACUCGGCAGCCUCGGGAUUUCACGAAGACUGCUCCGCUAAAAUUCACCGGACUGUCCGGUGUACACCGGACUGUCCGGUGUGCCAGCGGAGCAACGGUCAUCUGCGCCCAACGGUCGACUCUGACAGUAAACAGUGCAGAACAGUACGCGCGGCAGAAGUCAGAGCAGAGGAUCAGAGAGGCACCGGACUGUCCGGUGUGCACCGGACUGUCCGGUGCCACAUGAGGACAAAGCCUCCAACGGUCGACCAGCUCCAAUCUCGAACGGCUAGGAUGACGUGGCUGGCGCACCGGACAUGUCCGGUGUGCACCGGACUGUCCGGUGCGCCCAUCGCUAGCAGACUUCAUCAACGGCUAGUUUUUGGAUGGUGGAUAUAAAUACCACCCCAACCGGCCACUUAAAAUGUGUGGGAGUCCAAGCAACAUUCCAAGUCAUCUAGUUGACAUACUCAAGCCCUCCCAACCACCUAUAUUCAUUGAUCCAUCCUAUACACAAGAUUUAGUCCACUACAACCAACACAAGUGCCACAAAAGAGAGAGCAAGCAAUUGAGAGCUACUCAAUUGAGUUUAGCCCUAGCGCCUUGUGAGAUUCAUUGAGAGAUAGUGUGUGCUACAUCUUUGUGUUCAUUUGCGCGUGGAGUUUUUGACUCCCAUUCGAACUUCCUCCAAAGUGUUGGAGGCUUGUAAAAGCUAGCAAGAGACACCAAAGAUUGUGGUGGUCCUUGUGGGAUCGAGAGUGAUCCUUGAGAAGAAGAAGAGCUCGCCGAUCCUUGUGUGAUCGGGAGAGAGAGGGAAAGGGUUGAAAAAGACCCGUCCUUAAGUGGACUCCUCAACGGGGACUAGGCCUUCGAGGGCCGAACCUCGGUAAAACAAAUCACCCGUGUUCAUUGUGCUUUUGCUUGUGAUUUGUUUGCUUUCCCUUACUCUAAGUUCUCUUGCACUAUUCUUUGCUCAUAUCAUUUGGUGUUGCUUCAAGUUAAAAUCUCAUUUAAGUGAAGCAACACUCCGCAAGAAAAGAACUUGAGUUAGUGCUCUUUUUCAUCUAAGCUUUCUUGCUUUGUUAUCAUAGAAUUAUUAGUUGUAUUGAUUUAUCACUUCCGCAUUAUUUGAAAGCUAUACUCUUUACUAGCAAGAACUUAGUUUUUAUACUCCGAUAAUUGUUCAUCUUGUUCUAACCACUAAUCAAAGGAUCUAGUUGGGGGAUAAAGUUUUAAUUUUCAGGUUUCGCCUAUCCACCCCCCUCUAGGCGACUUUCAAUUGGUAUCAAAGCUAGGCACUUCAUCUUGAGUCUAACAACUCGAAGUGAUGGCUCGUAGAAGAUCCCAAAAGAACAAGAAGACCCAGGAGAACAAGGAGGUAACUCUUGAGAUAUUACUUUCCGAUUGUUCUAAUUAUGUUUCUUGGUCUACUAGAGUGAUAAAUGCCUUUAGAGCGGUAGACCCACAAUUAGAACAAAUUUUAGACAAGAGUAUUAUUCCUCCUAACUAUGCUAGGGAAAAUGCCUCCGAAAAAGAUUUAAGAUGUAUACGCUUAAACUAUCUAGCUUAUGACAUCUUAAGUAAAUCCCUUAGCAAAGAAGACUAUCAUGCCUUCAUAAUAAAAUAUGACAAACCCAUUUGUGAUGUGCAUGAUAUUUGGAUUAGAAUUAAAAGCAAAUUUAAUAAGUCCAAACAUGAUAGUUCAUUUUGUGCUUCUACUUCCCUUGGUAUUUGUGAUACUAACCCUUGCAAGGAAGAUGAAGAAAAUGAACGAUGGAGACCAAACGAUGAAUCCACCUCUCCAAAAGGUUUGUCUUCCCAUUUCAAUUCCCACAUAUGUUGUGUGGCUAAUGAAAAUGAUAGCGGAAGCACAAAUGAGGAUGAGGAGGAAGAAAGAAGCUUUGUGCAUCUCUACGCUCGCCUAAGCCAAGAAGAUAAGGCGGUCAUGCUCAAACUUCUAGAGAGAGCGAGAGAGCAAAGCGAAGCUCGUCAAAGGCUAGAAGAUAUUCUCUCCAUAAAGAUGCAACACUUUGACGAGUUGACUAAAGAACAUGAGGAGCUAAAGUGCUCUCAUGUUGAUUUGGUCCAAAGGUAUGAAACUAUUUCAAUUGAGCAAGAUAACGCUUCACAUUGUAUCGCUCAAUUAGUAAAUAGGAAUACCUUGCUUAAGGACCAAGUGGAAAAGCUAAAAAUUGAAAAUCUAGCUUUUCAAGAUAAAUAUGAUAUGCUCCUAUGCUCUCAUGAAAAUCUUAGAGAUGAUCAUAUCAUAUUAAACAUUGCUCAUGAGGUUGUGAUAGAAAAUUUAAAAUCCCAACAACCUCACUCAUGCACAUGUAUUCAAAUUGAUACUAUAUUACCAUGUGCUAAUGCUUGUUGUUUGUCAACAAGCAAAUCUUCCUUUGAGCCAGAAUUUGCAGGAACAAAUGAUGAUUCAUAUCAAAAGCUCAAAGAAGAAAAUGAGAGGCUAAAGAAGAGCUUGACACAACUAAAAGGGAAAUGCAUUGCCCAACCUUCUCAAGAUAACCGUGAUCACAUGGUGAAGAAGCUUGAGACGGGAACAACCGUGGCAUGCACUACAUCCCUUGAAGAAAAUGUCAAGGAUUUGAGGAUUGCCAUGAGGAGGGAACAAAAUAUGAAAUUCGACACCUCCUCAAAAAGCCUCAACCACGCCUCCACAAAAGGUAACAUCCAAGGUAAUGAUCAAGCCACACUUCACAUUAAGAGGUGUAGUGAAUGCUUUGAAGAGGGGCACUUGAUUAGGUCAUGUCCCCAUAUUAAUGGCUUGAUUAUUAACAAGGAUGAUAGACUUUGUUUUGAAUGCUCCAAGAAGGGACACUUGCUUAGAUCUUGUCCCCAUUUAAAACAAAAAGGCAUAGGAUUAGAAAGGAAAGUUUUUACUAACCAUGUAGCAGGCAACAAGCAAGGAAAGAAGAAAACUUCAAAACUUGAAAAACGCCUAUGCUACACAUGCCGAAGAAAGGGACAUCAAUGCAAGGAUUGUCCCAUUGGUAACAAUUCCACUCCUAGCUUGUCAAUUAAUUUUCAUAUAACUAGGCAACCCAAAAUUGCAACUUGUGCUAGAAAGGUAAUGAGUUUACCUAGUGCUAACACAAAGGACUUUUGGGUUCCUAGAUCUUUGUUUACUAACCUUAACAGACCCAUCAAGCGAUGGGUACCAAAAUAUGCUUGACAAGCUUUGUAGGAAAAGGAGAUGGUAUGAACCUUUGGGGUGCUUGAGGAAGUUAAUUCAAUUCUUAUCAACUCAAGCUAUCAAUCUUCAAAUGAUCUACAUAUUCAAGAUUGACCCAAGGUUAUUUCAAUAUGUUAUUCAAAACCCAUAUCAUCUCGGGGAAGAUAUUGAUGUUGUAGGAAUUAAAGAAUUAUCAUGUGCGGAAUAUCAAAGCCUACAACAUGGAGGAAAGUCAAAGGAUGGUAACAUUUAUAUUCUUAAGUGCAAUUAUCUUAAAUUGUCGUGUGUCUUGUGUAGCCACAUAGAAAUAGAAAGCACUUAAGCAUGUUUUAAAACUAUAUCAUCAUUCUUUGAAGAAAUUCCUCUCAUAUGGUAGAUUGUGUAUUUAUCAAUUCUAUAUUAUGACAAUCUACAUGCUCUAAAUUGUUGCAAUUUUUCAUGGCAUGUUUUUACAUUAAUUAUUAUUGCCAUGUUCUAGAUAUAGAGAGAUAUUUCAUGUUCUUAAAAGAAUAAGGUGUCAUGUAAGAAAUUCAAAUACUUAGGACACUUAUAAAAGGAAAAAUUCUCUCUAUAGCUAGAAAAGUGAGACUAAUAUUUUUAUCUAAGUAAUUUAAGUAGUCUCACUUGUAGAGAAUAAGUUUCUCUAUGGAAAUGCGUAUCUCGUCAUGUCUAGGAAAUUCUAUCCAAUAAUUCAUGUUGUAUCUCUUAUUGCUUAAUUGGAUAUGAUUCUUUCACAUUUAUCGCUUUCCAAAUCAUGAUUUAGAUUUAUUCCUAUAAUCUCAAAGGAUUAUUUAUGCUUGUUUUAUGAGUUAAAAUUGAGCAUAACAUCAUCUAUGAAUAAUCUAGUUCAUGCUAUGGAGUUUCCAUGUUUUGUUAAUCUAACUUCUCAUUCCUUACCAAAAUGAUUACAAAAAUUGGAAACUAGUGCUUGUGUUGCUACUAACAUUUCUCUUGAGUUCAAUUAUGAAAAUCUACAAGAGAGAAAGUACACAAGCCUCAUGGGUUGAGCUUCACCCAAAGGAAGAAAGGUAAAAGCAAAGGUAUGGGAACUCAUCUUCUUAAUUAAGUUUAGUUCCCAUCUCAAUGAGCAUUUAAUCUAAAUUAUCAUAUUCUACCCUUGUAAGGAAUAGAUUCGCUAUUGGACCGAAAUUAACUAAGUGUGCAUUCAAAUAUCAUUUUCUUAAAUGCUCAUGUCCAUUAGAAUCUAUUUAAUGCCUUUGCGAUAUUUAUAUGUUAUCAUAUUGAUUUGCUUCCAAGUGAUGAUUAACUAACUUCAAUAUGAUAAAGUAAAAUCUCCAAUAAUUAUUAAAAUGCUUAAAAGGUGCUCACUCAUUUUUCUCAAAUGAAAUGCACUAAUGUUAAGGAUUUUACUUCAUGUCUGUGUGACUUGUGGAUGAUGAAUUUUGUAUGCUAAUUAUCUAAAGUAAUCAUCAUUCACCAUAUACUCCCUUGCGCUAUUGACAUCUCUCUUGAGUAUUUUCAAUAAGUUUGGAAGGAAAAAGAGACAACUACAAAGGGAGGACACUCAAAUGAAAAAGGAAGAACAUCAAGGACAACAACACCUUCUUGGACAAUAAGUUUUUCACAACAAUCAAUGGUGUGGUUGUAAGCAUUCUAAGUCCUUUUCUUUUUCAUUAUGAGGUUACCAGGCUUAAGUUAUUUAUAGCAAAAUUUAUGAGCCUUGAUCAAGAUGUAUAAUGAUUCUCCUUUUAUGUUCUUAAAAUUGAAUGCAUUGAAAUCAAUUCUCUCAAUUACUUGAUGCAUAUCUUUAGGGGGAGUCCAUUAUUAUAUUUUGAUUAUGUUGAGACUAUUGCUUUAUCUUAGUAAUUUCAUAUAGUCUCUUGCAUGAGAAUAAUGUUUCUCAUAUAGUAUGCUAUUUCACAUCAAUCAAACUUGUUAAAGUAAUAUCACUUUCAUCAAGGUUUGUUGCCUCCAUUUCUAAAAGUAGCAUGCUUAUUGGAUUCUCCUAUUACUAAGCUUGAUUGAAAAUUUCAUGCCUUUGUUGUUUUCUUGAUCGCAUAUUGGUUGAUCAUUGAACAACUUCAAUCAACACUUAUGAUUCUUAGUGCCUCAUGUAAUUUGAAUUUGAUUUCAAUUGUGCACUAAGGAAAAAGGAGAAUUCAUGAUUCAUUUAUGCAACUUGUGAUCCAUUUUGAUAUAUGCUAACAAUAACUUGAAAAAGAUCACUAGUUGUAGAACUCUCUCUUGUGCAAAGUAUUUCCAUAUAUUGUCAUUGAGUAUAGGUCUUAAGCAACUAAGACUAAGGACAAAGCACAAUGAAGAGAGCAUCUCUAUGAGAAGGUACAAAAGGGUAAAACCACUUCCUUUCAUUUAAACUUGUACCUAAAUCUUCCUCUUAUAAGCAUUCUUUGCAUAUCUUAUACAUAAGGAAGAGAAAGCAUGUCCUUUGCAUUUAUCCCUGCUUCAUACCUAGUUUAACCUCUUAAAAUUUCACUCAUGCAUUAUUGCAUCUUUAUUAAAACUAGAUGAAGUGAUUCUAUUGUCAAAGAGCUUAAAGCUUAACCUUGUAACGAGGAUAAGCUACCUUUGUUCCAAAGGUGGAUGGUCCUUAAGUCUCUUUGAAAUCCUUAAAGGAAAAUGCUUAAAAUGUUUGCAACAUGCUUUCAUAAGUGCAUAAACUGUCUUGAGCAUCACUCAUAUACUAUGACACAAUGCACUUCACUUUCUCUAUGGUAUAGACUUGUUCUCAUUAACCUAAUUAUGUGCACUUGGCAUUUAAGGCCAAAAUAUGUAUUCCUCUCAAGGCACAUAUUUAGGGGGAGAAAUCUAUAUUAUAUAGAACUAUGAUCAUGCUUAAUUGACAUAUCUCUUGGUCAUAUCUCUUUCAUUUUGGUACAAAUGCAUAUAUCCUAUUAUUCCCGUACCAUGACUACGACUAAUAUGUUUCCAAGUAUAUUACUAUGCUAAGUCGUAGAUUGAAAGGGAAAUGGAGUCUUCGGCGAAAACAAAGGCUUCCACUCCGUAUAUCAUACUUCGCCAUCACUCCAAGCAACUCUCUAUUCCUUGGGGGAGAAAUGAGCAUCAAAGAAAAGGACUUCGUCUCUGGAAGAGAGUAAGAGCCCAAAGAUAAAAGACCGGACUUCGCCUUUGGUAUAAUCUUAACUCAUUUAUUUAUGCCCAAAGGGGAAGAUAGCACUUCAAGGGCUCUAAUGAUUCCGUUUUUGGCGAUUCAUGCCAAAAAGGGGGAGAAAUGAGCCCAAAGCAAGCAAAAGGACCGCACCACACCACCACCAAAUUCAAAAACUUAGUGCUUUCCAAAAGUAUUUAUCAUUUGGUAUCCUAUUGUGUUCAAAAAGGGGGAGAAAGGAGUAUUUCAAAAAUGGUAUAUCAAAACCCUCUUGAACACUAAGAGGUGGAUCUCUUUUAGGGGGAGUUUUGUUGAAGUCAAAGGGAAAGCAUUUGAAACAGGGGGAGAAAAUUUCAAAUCUUGAAAAUGCUUUACAAACUCUUAUUCAUUUACCUUUGACUAUUUGCAAAAGAUCUUUGAAAUGGAUUUACAAAAAGAAUUUGCAAAAACAAAACAUGUGGUGCAAGCGUGGUCCAAAAUACUAAAUAAAAUAAAGAAAGAAAGCAUUCCAUGCAUAUCUUGUAAGUAGUAAUAUUGGUUUAAUUCCAAGUAAUCUUUGCACCUAUUCUAUGCAAACUAGUUCAAUUAUUCUCUUAUAUAUUUGCUUUGGUUUGUGUUGGCAUCAAUCACCAAAAAGGGGGGGAUUGAAAGGGAAAUAAGCUUUAAACCUUUUCCUAAAUGAUUUUGGUGAUUGAAUGUCCAACACAAACAAUUGGACUAAUCAGUUUGCUCUAGAUUAUAUGUUCUACAGGUGCCCAAGAUUCAACAUGAAACCAAUAAAAAGAAUAAGACAAAAUAAAGGAGCAAAGGGGCAACCGAAGGCACCCCUGGUCUGGCGCACCGGACUGUCCGGUGUGCCACCGGACAGUGAACAGUACCUGUCCAGUGCACCAGGAAACGCAGACUCAAAACUCGCCACUUUCGGGAAAAUCCAGGGCCGGCGCGCUAUAAUUCACCGGACUGUCCGGUGUACACCGGACAGUGUCCGGUGCUCCAACGGAACGCGGCCUCAGGAACUCGGCAGCCUCGGGAUUUCACGAAGACUGCUCCGCUAAAAUUCACCGGACUGUCCGGUGUACACCGGACUGUCCGGUGUGCCAGCGGAGCAACGGUCAUCUGCGCCCAACGGUCGACUCUGACAGUAAACAGUGCAGAACAGUACGCGCGGCAGAAGUCAGAGCAGAGGAUCAGAGAGGCACCGGACUGUCCGGUGUGCACCGGACUGUCCGGUGCCACAUGAGGACAAAGCCUCCAACGGUCGACCAGCUCCAAUCUCGAACGGCUAGGAUGACGUGGCUGGCGCACCGGACAUGUCCGGUGUGCACCGGACUGUCCGGUGCGCCCAUCGCUAGCAGACUUCAUCAACGGCUAGUUUUUGGAUGGUGGCUAUAAAUACCACCCCAACCGGCCACUUAAAACGUGUGGGAGUCCAAGCAACAUUCCAAGUCAUCUAGUUGACAUACUCAAGCCCUCCCAACCACCUAUAUUCAUUGAUCCAUCCUAUACACAAGAUUUAGUCCACUACAACCAACACAAGUGCCACAAAAGAGAGAGCAAGCAAUUGAGAGCUACUCAAUUGAGUUUAGCCCUAGCGCCUUGUGAGAUUCAUUGAGAGAUAGUGUGUGCUACAUCUUUGUGUUCAUUUGCGCGUGGAGUUUUUGACUCCCAUUCGAACUUCCUCCAAAGUGUUGGAGGCUUGUAAAAGCUAGCAAGAGACACCAAAGAUUGUGGUGGUCCUUGUGGGAUCGAGAGUGAUCCUUGAGAAGAAGAAGAGCUCGCCGAUCCUUGUGUGAUCGGGAGAGAGAGGGAAAGGGUUGAAAAAGACCCGUCCUUAAGUGGACUCCUCAACGGGGACUAGGCCUUCGAGGGCCGAACCUCGGUAAAACAAAUCACCCGUGUUCAUUGUGCUUUUGCUUGUGAUUUGUUUGCUUUCCCUUACUCUAAGUUCUCUUGCACUAUUCUUUGCUCAUAUCAUUUGGUGUUGCUUCAAGUUAAAAUCUCAUUUAAGUGAAGCAACACUCCGCAAGAAAAGAACUUGAGUUAGUGCUCUUUUUCAUCUAAGCUUUCUUGCUUUGUUAUCAUAGAAUUAUUAGUUGUAUUGAUUUAUCACUUCCGCAUUAUUUGAAAGCUAUACUCUUUACUAGCAAGAACUUAGUUUUUAUACUCCGAUAAUUGUUCAUCUUGUUCUAACCACUAAUCAAAGGAUCUAGUUGGGGGAUAAAGUUUUAAUUUUCAGGUUUCGCCUAUCCACCCCCCCUCUAGGCGACUUUCAAUGCUUUUCUGCAAAAACGAGUCUUUGAAAUUUGAUGAGCCUUACCUUGAUUCCCAAUAAACCAGCAUACCCUUGAGAGUCUUUCCUUUAGUCGGGUAAGUCUUGCUGAGUAAUUGCGUACUCAGGGUUUUAUUCCCUGUUGUUUUUCAGGUUAUAAUUUUGUUCUGUUGUGGAUGCUGCUAAGUGCCGGUGGGCUCGGCCUUCUUAUAUAAGUAUAUCCCAUCUUUAGCUUCUUUAUUGAGGAUUGUCACUUAAGCUAGCAUGUAAUUUAAAACUUAUAAAUGUUUUAUACAUUCAAAUUGUAAUCUUUUGAAUCAAUUUCUUUUGUAACCAACUCCGAUGAUAUAUAUUGUAAUCUUGCUAUAACUUGUAAAUGUUGUAACUUGUAACCAUUUUGUAAUAAAUAAUUUAUUUCCGCUGCAAAUAUUGGUGUGUGAUUUGUGUUUACUUAAUCUUGCGAUCUUGGCGGUAAGUCGUUUAUCCGGGGUCCUCGGGGCACUCGGACAGAUCCUGUUAAGUUGUUUGGUGCACAUGCAUAGCUGUCUGAGGUCUUUGAGACAAGGACAGGUGCAUGUGGGCCCGAUAACUUGGGAGGUUCUGCGACAGCUGGUAUCGGAGCUUGAUUAAGUAUGAUACGGUCACAUACGUAUUUUCAAAACAAAAGUUUUGGUUUUAGAAAAUCUAUUUUCAACUAAACACAUUGUUUGGUUUUGAAAAACAGAUUUGAAAAAUUAUAAUGCUAGCGACAUCCUCUAUAAGCCCUAAGUUAAGGACUACUAGGUGGCUUAGUUCAGAAUACUAACCCACAACCUGGGAAGGGUAAUGCAUACAUGUGUAAUGUUAUUUUUGAAGCCAUUCAGUCUUGAAUGGAUCGACGCUCAAGGUAAGGUGAGAUGUGAGAGUAUGACCGAACAAACGUCGGUCUAGGGAAGAGCAUAAAAAGCGCUUGACUAUAUACAUGUUCUACAUAUGUAUAUAGGAAAGCUGCGAUGUGGAGUAAUUACUUUUUGGGAUUCAGUACCCCAUGGAUGUGUAUGGGUAUACAGACAUGGGAAUACUGAGAAGUGUAAUGUAUUUGCAACGACGCACCUACGCUCAGGUAAAAAGGUGAGUUACCAUAAUGGGCUGCCCUAUGGUUAAAGUGUGGCAGCGGCGCCUAUGCGUGGCUCGACGCUUAAUGAUGAGCUGCCUCCAUAUAGAAAUAUAUGGAGUAUAAACUGUGAUAAACUGUCAUAUGUGAAUUGCAUCAUUGGGAAUUGAGCUGUGAUGGAAAUUUUCUGCAGGUACACUAACUUCGAACUCGUAUGUGUAGCUGACGACUAGCAACAUAUCGAGAGAGAACGUAGAUAUGCCACCGAUAUAGAACGCUAUUGCCACAUUAUGUUGGCGAAAAUUGUGAGGACGAAUAGGACGAGCAUGCAUCCUGAGUUGCAUUGUGUUUGUUGUUUGCGCACAAAAAUGCUUCUCUCACCCUUAUUCUAAUAAUGGGUGAUUGCGAACAAACAUGCUUUUCUCAUCUUUAUUCCGAUAAUAAAUAAUUGGAAAAAUGUGCGAAGCAUUGCUGUCCUAUAAGAAAAUUUUUAGUUUUUUUUGUUAUGUCCUUUAGACAUGUGUUUAUGUGGCAUGUGAUUCUUCUUAGUUUGACCGCUAGUGCAACUUUGGUUUGUUUUCGUGCUUGUGUGCUGGUAGAAUGCAGGUAGUUUGUUUGCAUAAACCCAAAGCUAGGUCAUGUCCUCGUUUAGUGAACCAUAACCCAAAUCGUCAUCAAUCCUCCAAAAAUUCCUCCAAGUCUCCAAGCAUGGAUGAGUUCGAGUUUCUCGUUACUACUCCAUGACCGCUUAGAUAAGCUUUUUAUUGGAUGUAAAAUGAACGUUGACUUAAAAUAAGGAUCUCGAGUACAUGUUCUCGUUGUUUAAUAUGUGACUCUUUUGUAGUCAUUUUCCCUCCAAAAUCAUGCCUUUGGUCGCUUGGUGCAAGUUGAUGUUUCUAUUCCACUCUGUAUCUUUUGGGGACCAUCUCGUUAUUUUAUCAACCUAACCCAGGAAAGCCAUGUCCAAUCAUUUUCUUGAACUGGAUGUCUUUGGGUUCCUCAUAUCUCUUGAAGGCAUACCAAUUUAAUCUUCUGAUCAUUUUCCCUCUGAACCUAAUCAGACAUUAAUCCUUGACUUUGUAAUCUCGGCGAUGGGCAUAGAAAUAUGCUUAGCGCUGAAUUAAGAGUCUCCCAUCGUACUUGAUAGUCGCCUAGAGGGGGGGUGAAUAGGGCGAAACUGAAAUUUACAAAAAUAAUCACAACUACAAGCCGGGUUAGCGUUAGAAAUAUAAACGAGUCCGCGAGAGAGGGCGCAAAACAAAUCGCAAGCAAAUAAGGAGAGUGACACGCGGAUUUGUUUUACCGAGGUUCGGUUCUCGCAAACCUACUCCCCGUUGAGGAGGCCACAAAGGCCGGGUCUCUUUCAACCCUUCCCUCUCUCAAACGGUCCCUCGGACCGAGUGAGCUUUCCUUCUUCUCAAUCAACCGGGAACAAAACUUCCCCGCAAGGGCCACCACACAAUCGGUGCCUCUUGCCUCGGUUACAAUCGAGUGUUGAUCACAAGAGCACAAGAGAAAGAAAGAAUGCGAUCCAAGCGCAAGAGCUCAAAAGAACACGGCAAAUCUCUCUCGCUAGUCACUAAAGGCUUGAGUGGAAUUGGAGAGGAUUUGAUCUCUUUGUAUGUGUCUAGAGUUGAGUGCCUAGCUCUUGUAAGUGGUUAGAAGUUGGAAAACUUGGAUGGCAAUGAAUGUGGGGUGGUUGGGGUAUUUAUAGCCCCAACCACCAAAAGUGACCGUUGGCUGGAGGCGUCUGCUCGAUGGCGCACCGGACAGUCCGGUGCACACCGGACAGUCCGGUGCCCCUGCCACGUCAUCACUGCCGUUGGAUUCUAGCCGUUGGAGCUUCUGACUUGUGGGCCCGCCUGGGUGUCCGGUGCACACCGGACAUGUACUGUUUGAUGUCCGGUGCACCGGCAUGGGCGAUUCUGACUUCUGCGCGCGCUGCGCGCGCAUUUAAUGCACCGCAGGGAGCCGUUGGCGCCGCAGGGAGCCGUUGCUCCGCUGGCACACCGGACAGUCCGGUGUACACCGGACAGUCCGGUGAAUUAUAGCGGAGCGGCUGCCGCGCGAACCCGAGGCUGGCGAGUUCAGGAGGCCGAGCUUCCUUGGAGCACCGGACAUGUCCGGUGCACACCGGACAGUCCGGUGAAUUAUAGCGCGCCGUCUUCCGAGAAAUCCCGAGGGUGAAGAGUUUGAGUCUGAGUUCCCUGGUGCACCGGACAGGUACUGUUCACUGUCCGAUGGCACACCGGACAGUCCGGUGCGCCAGACCAGGGGUGCCCUCGGUUGCCCCUUUGCUCCUUUAUUGAAUCCAACACUUGAUCUUUUUAUUGGCUAGAUGUGAACCUUUUGCACCUGUAUAACUUAUACACUAGAGCAAACUAGUCAGUCCAAUAUUUGUGUUGGGCAAUUCAACCACCAAAAUUAUUUAGGAACUAGGUGUAAGCCUAAUUCCCUUUCAAUCUCCCCCUUUUUGGUGAUUGAUGCCAACACAAACCAAAGCAAAUAUAGAAGUGCAUAAUUGAACUAGUUUGCAUAAUAUAAGUGAAAAGGUUACUUGGAAUUGAGCCAAUAUAACUACUUACAAGAUAUGCAAGGAAUGUUUCUUUCUUAUAUAACAUUUUGGACCACGUUUGCACCACAUGUUUUGUUUUUGCAAAUUCUUUUUGUAAAUCCAUUUCAAAGAUCUUUUGCAAAUAGUCAAAGGUACAUGAAUAAGAGUUUGCAAAGCAUUUUCAAGAUUUGAAAUUGUCUCCCCCUAUUUCAAAUGCUUUUCCUUUGACUAAACAAAACUCCCCCUAAAAGAGAUCCACCUCUUAGUGUUCAAGAGGGUUUUGAUAUACCAUUUCUGAAAUACUACUUUCUCCCCCUUUUGAACACAAUAGGAUACCAAAUGAUAAAGACUUUUGGAAAGCACUAAGUUUUUGAAUUUGGUGGUGGUGGUGCGGUCCUUUUGCUUUGGGCUCAUUUCUCCCCCUUUUUGGCAUGAAUCGCCAAAAACGGAAUCAUUAGAGCCCUCGAAGUAAGUUCUUCCCCUUUGGUCAUAAGUAAAUGAGUUAAGAUUAUACCAAAGACGAAAUCCGGUCCUUUUGCUUUUGAGCUUUUACUCUCUCCUCGAAGGAUGAAGUCCUUUUCUUUGAUGCUCAUUUCUCCCCAAGGAAUAGAGAGUUGCUCGGAGUGAUGGCGAAGCAUGAGUUACGGAGUGGAAGCCUUUGUCUUCGCCGAAGACUCUAAUUCCCUUUCAAUAUACCUAUGACUUGGUUUGAAAUAGACUUGAAAACACAUUAGUCAUAGCAUAUAGAAGAGAUAUGAUCAAAGGUAUUCAAAUGAGCUAUGUGUGCAAGCUUAGCAAAAGAAAUUUCUAGAAUCAAGAAUAUUGAGCUCAUGCCUAAGUCUGGUAAAAGAUUGUUCAUCAAGUGGCUUGGUAAAGAUAUCGGCUAAUUGAUCUUUAGUAUUAAUGUAAGAAAUCUCGAUAUCCCCCUUUUGUUGGUGAUCCCUAAGAAAAUGAUACCGAAUGGCUAUGUGCUUAGUGCGGCUAUGCUCGACGGGAUUGUCGGCCAUUUUGAUUGCACUCUCAUUAUCACAUAGCAAAGGGACUUUGGUUAAUUUGUAACCGUAGUCCCGCAGGGUUUGCCUCAUCCAAAGCAAUUGCGCGCAACAAUGUCCUGCGGCAAUGUACUCGGCUUCGGCGGUGGAAAGAGCGACCGAAUUUUGCUUCUUUGAAGCCCAAGACACCAAGGAUCUUCCCAAGAACUGGCAAGUCCCUGAUGUGCUCUUCCUAUUAAUUUUGCACCCCGCCCAAUCGGCAUCCGAAUAACCAAUUAAAUCAAAUGUGGAUCCCCGAGGGUACCAAAGCCCAAACUUAGGAGUAUAAGCCAAAUAUCUCAAGAUUCGUUUUACGGCCGUAAGGUGUGAUUCCUUAGGGUCGGAUUGGAAUCUUGCACACAUGCAAACGGAAAGCAUAAUGUCCGGUCGAGAUGCACAUAAAUAAAGCAAUGAACCAAUCAUUGACCGGUAUACCUUUUGAUCCACGGACUUACCUCCCGUGUCGAGGUCGAGAUGCCCAUUAGUUCCCAUGGGUGUCUUGAUGGGUUUGGCAUCCUUCAUCCCAAACUUAGCAAGAAUGUCUUGAGUGUACUUCGUUUGGCUAAUGAAGGUGCCCUCUUGGAGUUGCUUGACUUGGAAUCCUAGAAAAUACUUCAACUCCCCCAUCAUCGACAUCUCGAAUUUCUGUGUCAUGAUCCUACUAAACUCUUCACAUGUAGACUCGUUAGUAGACCCAAAUAUAAUAUCAUCAACGUAAAUUUGGCAUACAAACAAGUCAUUUUCAAGAGUUUUAGUAAAGAGUGUAGGAUCGGCCUUGCCGACUUUGAAGCCAUUAGCAAUAAGGAAAUCUCUAAGGCAUUCAUACCAUGCUCUUGGGGCUUGCUUGAGCCCAUAAAGCGCCUUAGAGAGCCUAUAGACAUGAUUUGGAUACUCACUGUCUUCAAAGCCGGGAGGUUGCUCAACAUAGACCUCUUCCUUGAUCGGUCCAUUGAGGAAGGCACUUUUCACGUCCAUUUGAUAGAGCUUAAAGCCAUGGUAAGUAGCAUAGGCCAAUAAUAUGCGAAUUGACUCAAGCCUAGCUACGGGUGCAUAGGUUUCACCGAAAUCCAAACCUUCGACUUGUGAAUACCCUUUGGCUACGAGUCGAGCUUUGUUCCUUGUCACCACACCAUGCUCAUCUUGCUUGUUGCGGAAGACCCAUUUGGUUCCUACAACAUUUUGGUUAGGACGUGGAACUAAAUGCCAGACCUCAUUCCUCGUGAAAUUGUUGAGCUCCUCUUGCAUCGCCACCACCCAAUCCGAAUCUUGGAGAGCUUCCUCUACCCUGUGUGGCUCAAUAGAGGAAACAAAAGAGUAAUGUUCACAAAAAUGAGCAACCCGAGAUCGAGUAGUUACCCCCUUAUGAAUGUCGCCGAGGAUGGUGUCGACGGGGUGAUCUCGUUGGAUUGCUUGGUGGACUCUUGGGUGUGGCGGUCUUGGUUCUUCCUCAUCCUCCUUUUCUUGAUCAUUUGUAUCUCCCCCUUGAUCAUUGCUAUCAUCUUGAGGUGGCUCGUCUUCUUGAUUUUGCUCUUCAUCAUUUUGAGCCUCAUCCUCAUUUUGAGUUGGUGGAGAUGCUUGCAUGGAGGAGGAUGGUUGAUCUUGUGUACUUGGAGGCUCUUUGGAUUCCUUAGGACACACAUCCCCGAUGGACAUGUUCCUUAGCGCGAUGCAUGGAGCCUGUUCUUCACCUAUCUCAUCAAGAUCAACUUGCUCUACUUGAGAGCCGUUAGUUUCAUCAAACACAACGUCACAAGAGACUUCAACUAGUCCAGUGGACUUGUUAAAGACCCUAUAUGCCCUUGUGUUUGAGUCAUAACCAAGUAAAAAGCCUUCUACAGUUUUAGGAGCAAAUUUUGAUUUUCUACCUCUUUUAAUAAGAAUGAAGCAUUUGCUACCAAAAACUCUAAAAUAUGAAAUAUUGGGCUUUUUACCGGUUAGGAGUUCAUAUGAUGUCUUCUUGAGGAUUCGGUGAAGAUAUAACCGGUUGAUGGCGUAGCAGGCGGUGUUGACUGCUUCGGCCCAAAACCGGUCCGGUGUCUUGUACUCAUCAAGCAUGGUUCUUGCCAUGUCCAAUAGAGUUCGAUUCUUCCUCUCCACUACACCGUUUUGUUGUGGCGUGUAGGGAGAAGAGAACUCAUGCUUGAUGCCCUCCUCCUCAAGGAAGCUUUCAAUUUGAGAGUUCUUGAACUCCGUCCCAUUGUCGCUUCUUAUUUUCUUGAUCCUUAAGCCGAACUCAUUUUGAGCUCGUCUCAAGAAUCCCUUUAAGGUCUCUUGGGUUUGAGAUUUUUCCUGUAAAAAGAAUACCCAAGUGAAGCGAGAAUAAUCAUCCACAAUAACUAGACAGUACUUACUCCCGCCGAUGCUUAUGUAAGCGAUCGGGCCGAAUAGAUCCAUGUGUAGGAGCUCUAGCGGCCUGUCAGUCGUCAUUAUGUUCUUGUGUGGAUGAUGAGUGCCAACUUGCUUCCCUGCUUGGCAUGCGCUACAAAUCCUGUCUUUCUCAAAAUGAACAUUGGUUAGUCCUAAAAUGUGCUCUCCCUUUAGAAGCUUAUGAAGAUUCUUCAUCCCAACAUGGGCUAGUCGGCGGUGCCAGAGCCAACCCAUGUUAGUCUUAGCAAUUAAACAUGUGUCGAGCUCAGCUCUAUCAAAAUCUACUAAGUAUAGCUGACCUUCUAACACACCCUUAAAUGCUAUUGAAUCAUCACUUCUUCUAAAGACAGUGACACCUAUAUCAGUAAAAAGACAGUUGUAGCCCAUUUGACAUAAUUGGGAAACAGAAAGCAAGUUGUAAUCUAAUGAAUCAACAAGAAAAACAUUGGAAAUGGAAUGGUUAGGUGAAAUAGCAAUUUUACCCAAACCUUUGACCAACCCUUGAUUUCCAUCCCCGAAUGUGAUAGCUCGUUGGGGAUCUUUGUUUUUCUCAUAUGAGGAGAACAUCCUUUUCUCCCCGGUCAUGUGGUUUGUGCACCCGCUGUCGAGUAUCCAACUUGAGCCCCCGGAUGCAUAAACCUACAAAACAAAUUUAGUUCUUGACUUUAGGUACCCAAAUUGUUUUGGGUCCUUUGGCAUUAGAUACAAGAACUUUGGGUACCCAAACACAAGUCUUGGAACCCUUGUGUUUGCCCCCAACAAACUUGGCAACGACCUUGCCGGAUUUGUUAGUCAAAACAUAAGAAGCAUCAAAAGUUUUAAAUGAGAUAGUAUGAUCAUUUGAUGCACUAGGAGUUUUCUUUCUAGGCAACUUGGCACGGGUUGGUUGCCUAGAGCUAGAUGUCUCACCCUUAUACAUAAAAGCAUGAUUGGGGCCAGAGUGAGACUUCCUAGAGUGAAUUUUCCUAAUCUUGCUCUCAGGAUAGCCGGCAGGGUAUAAAAUGUAACCCUCGUUAUCCUGAGGCAUGGGAGCUUUGCCCUUAACAAAGUUAGACAAAUUUUUAGGAGGGGCAUUAAGUUUGACAUUGUCUCCCCUUUGGAAGCCAAUGCCAUCCUUAAUGCCAGGGCGUCUCCCAUUAUAAAGCAUGCUACGAGCAAAUUUAAAUUUCUCAUUUUCUAAGUUGUGCUCGGCAAUUUUAGCAUCUAGUUUAGCUAUAUGAUCAUUUUGUUUUUUAAUUAAGGCUAGGUGAUCAUGGAUAGCAUCAACAUUAAUAUCUCUACAUCUAGUGCAAAUAGAAACAUGCUCAACAUUAGAUGUAGAGGGUUUGCAAGAUUUAAGUUCUACAACCUUAGCAUGCAACAUUUCAUUCUUAGUUCUAUGGUCGGAAAUAGUAGCAUUGCAAACAUUAAAAUCUUUAGCCUUAGCAAUUAAAUUUUCAUUCUCUAAUCUAAGGCUAGCAAGAGAUGCAUUCAAUUCAUCAAUCUUAGCAAGCAAGUCAACGUUAUCAUCUCUAAGAUUGGUAAUUGAAACAUUACAAACAUGUGAAUCAACCUUAGCAUUUAAAGUAGCAUUUUCAUUUCUAAGGUUGUCAAUCAUCUCACGGCAAGUGCUUAGCUCACUAGACAGUUUUUCACAUUUUUCAACUUGUAGAGCGUAAGCAUUUUUAACCUUAACAUGUUUCUUAUUCUCCUUGAUUAGGAAGUCCUCUUGGGAGUCCAAGAGAUCAUCCUUUUCAUGGAUGGCACUAAUUAGUUCAUUUAAUUUUUCCUUUUGUUCCAUGUUAAGGUUAGCAAAAAGAAUGCGCAAGUUAUCCUCCUCAUUUUUAUCAUCAUCCUCAUCACUAGAUGUUUCAUAUUUAGUGGAGGACCUUGAUUUUACCUUCUUUUUGCCGUCCUUGGCCAUGAGACACUUGUGGCCGACGUUGGGGAAGAGAAGGCCCUUGGUGACGGCGAUGUUGGCGGCGUCCUCGUCGGAGGAGGAGUCGCUUGAGCUUUCGUCGGAGUCCCACUCCCGACAAACAUGGGCAUCGCCGCCCUUCUUCUUGUAAUACUUCUUCUUCUCCUUUCUUCUUCCCUUCUUGUCGUCGCCCCUGUCACUGUCACUAGACAUAGGACAUUUUGCAAUAAAGUGACCGGGCUUACCACACUUGUAGCAAACCUUCUUGGAACUAGGUUUGUAGUCCUUCCCCUUCCGUUGCUUGAGGAUUUGCCUAAAGCUUUUGAUGAUUAGGGCCAUCUCCUCAUUGUCGAGCUUGGAGGCGUCAAUUGGUUGUCUACUUGGUGUAGACUCCUCCUUCUUCUCCUCCGUUGCCUUAAAGGCCACUGGUUGCGCCUCGGAGGUGGAAGGCUCGUCAAGCUCGUUGAUCUUCUUGGAGCCCUUAAUCAUGCAUUCAAAACUCACAAAAUUCCCGAUAACUUCCUCGGGGGUCAUUAGUGGAUAUCUAGGAUUCCCACGAAUUAAUUGUACUUGAGUGGGGUUAAGGAAAAUAAGAGCUCUUAGAAUAACCUUAACCACUUCGUGGUCAUCCCAUUUUGUGCUCCCGAGGUUGCGCACUUGGUUCACCAAGGUCUUGAGCCGGUUGUACAUGUCUUGUGGCUCCUCCCCUUGGCGAAGACGGAAGCGACCGAGCUCCCCCUCGAUCGUUUCCCGCUUGGUGAUCUUGGUGAGUUCAUCACCCUCGUGCGCCGUCUUGAGUAGGUCCCAAAUCUCCUUGGCGUUCUUCAAUCCUUGUACUUUGUUGUAUUCCUCCUUGCUUAGGGAGGCAAGGAGGAUGGUUGCGGCUUGGGAGUUGAAGUGCUCGAUUUGGGCCACUUCGUCCGUGUCAUAGUCCUCAUCCCCUAUUGAUGGUACCUGUACACCAUACUCAACAACAUCCCAUAUUCUUUUGUGGAGAGAGGUUAGAUGAAAUCGCAUCAAAUUACUCCACAUAGCAUAAUCUUCACCAUUAAAAGUUGGUGGUUUGCCUAAUGGGACGGAAAGUAAAGGUGUAUGUUUAGGAAUGCGAGGGUAGCGUAGGGGGAUCUUACUAUACUUCUUGCGCUCUUGGCGUUUGGAAGUGACGGACGCCGCGUCGGAGCCGGAGGUAGAUGUCGAUGAAGUGUCGGUCUCGUAGUAGACCACCUUCCUCAUCCUCUUGUGCUUGUCCCCACUCCGAUGUGGCUUGUGAGAAGAAGAUUUUUCCUUCUUCUCCUUGUGGUGAGAAGAGGAAGAUCUUUUCUCCUUCCGUUUGGAGGAGUUCUUCUUCUUCUCCCUUUUGUUGGUGCGGGACUCUUCCGAUGAGGUGCUCCCUUGGCUUGUAGUGGGCUUGUCGCCGGUCUCCAUCUCCUUCUUGGCGUGAUCUCCCGACAUCACUUCGAGCGGUUAGGCUCUAAUGAAGCACCGGGCUCUGAUACCAAUUGAUAGUCGCCUAGAGGGGGGGUGAAUAGGGCGAAACUGAAAUUUACAAAAAUAAUCACAACUACAAGCCGGGUUAGCGUUAGAAAUAUAAACGAGUCCGCGAGAGAGGGCGCAAAACAAAUCGCAAGCAAAUAAGGAGAGUGACACGCGGAUUUGUUUUACCGAGGUUCGGUUCUCGCAAACCUACUCCCCGUUGAGGAGGCCACAAAGGCCGGGUCUCUUUCAACCCUUCCCUCUCUCAAACGGUCCCUCGGACCGAGUGAGCUUUCCUUCUUCUCAAUCAACCGGGAACAAAACUUCCCCGCAAGGGCCACCACACAAUCGGUGCCUCUUGCCUCGGUUACAAUCGAGUGUUGAUCACAAGAGCACAAGAGAAAGAAAGAAUGCGAUCCAAGCGCAAGAGCUCAAAAGAACACGGCAAAUCUCUCUCGCUAGUCACUAAAGGCUUGAGUGGAAUUGGAGAGGAUUUGAUCUCUUUGUAUGUGUCUAGAGUUGAGUGCCUAGCUCUUGUAAGUGGUUAGAAGUUGGAAAACUUGGAUGGCAAUGAAUGUGGGGUGGUUGGGGUAUUUAUAGCCCCAACCACCAAAAGUGACCGUUGGCUGGAGGCGUCUGCUCGAUGGCGCACCGGACAGUCCGGUGCACACCGGACAGUCCGGUGCCCCUGCCACGUCAUCACUGCCGUUGGAUUCUAGCCGUUGGAGCUUCUGACUUGUGGGCCCGCCUGGGUGUCCGGUGCACACCGGACAUGUACUGUUUGAUGUCCGGUGCACCGGCAUGGGCGAUUCUGACUUCUGCGCGCGCUGCGCGCGCAUUUAAUGCACCGCAGGGAGCCGUUGGCGCCGCAGGGAGCCAUUGCUCCGCUGGCACACCGGACAGUCCGGUGUACACCGGACAGUCCGGUGAAUUAUAGCGGAGCGGCUGCCGCGCGAACCCGAGGCUGGCGAGUUCAGGAGGCCGAGCUUCCUUGGAGCACCGGACAUGUCCGGUGCACACCGGACAGUCCGGUGAAUUAUAGCGCGCCGUCUUCCGAGAAAUCCCGAGGGUGAAGAGUUUGAGUCUGAGUUCCCUGGUGCACCGGACAGGUACUGUUCACUGUCCGAUGGCACACCGGACAGUCCGGUGCGCCAGACCAGGGGUGCCCUCGGUUGCCCCUUUGCUCCUUUAUUGAAUCUAACACUUGAUCUUUUUAUUGGCUAGAUGUGAACCUUUUGCACCUGUAUAACUUAUACACUAGAGCAAACUAGUCAGUCCAAUAUUUGUGUUGGGCAAUUCAACCACCAAAAUUAUUUAGGAACUAGGUGUAAGCCUAAUUCCCUUUCAGUACUCCCUCAUCAACCAAUUUAGGUUUUGGCAAUCCCGUGUUCCUUCAUCGGGCCAGGACCUAUUUGGCUCUCUACCUGUAACCAUUCUUAUAGGUGGAGUCUCUUUUGUAUAUUAUCAUCCUGGCUUAGUCUAUUUGUUACCGCGUGAGAUUUUUUAUUGGUUACGUCUGGUAAUGGUGUUAUGACUAAAACUGGCGGUGCCGCGACGAAACCGAGGGCCUCCUGUGGGUGAUCAACACAUGGUUGCGCUACUUGGCACGCGCUGGUAUCACAGUUAGUAGUCAUAAUCCAUUAUGAGAUUAUAUCGAUAUGUUAUCUUUGAGCAAAUUGUUCUUACCACGUGAGAUUCAUUAUCGGUGCCAGUUCGGUAAUGGUGUCAUGAUUAAGGACUUAUGGUGCCGCAGCGAAACUGAGAGCCCCUUGUGAAUGUACACGCAAGGUUAUGCUGCUUGGCGCAUGCUGGUAUCGAGGUAUCUAGUCAUGAUCCAUUAUGGAACUACAUUAAUAUAUUAUCUUUCGUGGACUUUUCCCUUGAAAUGAUUUUUGUGUUGUUUGCUAAAACAAUCAAACAAUAUAUGCCAUCACUAUUGGAUCAAAAGAGUAUAUAACUCUGAUGUAUUCUUUAAGUAAAAUUCUUACCAGUUCCGAAGUCUUCAAAAAAAACGAAACUUAUCUGUAUCUAUCCAUGUAAAAAAACUCACCCCUUUCAUGUGUGGUCUAUUUUCUCUUAAUUUUGGUGGUGACUACAAUACAAGUUCCCUUUACGUCCUUUGUGUAAAGGUGAAGCCUCGAAGCUUUUUAGUGUUGAGAGAUAAUUAAUUGGUCCUCUUCAUGGAGAAAGUAAUCUACCACUAGGAGUUUGUUCAUUCGCUCUUUUAUUUAAUCCAUGUAUUUCCGAACCAAGUUAUUUCAUCUCGCAUGAAGGAACGAAUGAACAACAUGACCAAAUGGAUUUUCACUCAAAUGCAUGAUCAACUGUUAACAAAUGUGAACUCUCAACCCUGGUUUGCCGAUGGAUAAUAAGAAGACUUGCUCAAUGUCAAAAGUAGUUCAACAAGUUGGUUUUACUAACUUGUAACUGCCCAAUGAACAAAGGUUGAGUUUAGAGAUCGUUUUAUCGAGUUGUCCAAACUCACUUAGUUCAGCCUAUCCUAAAGAAACCCUUAUCAAGAUCAAGUGAAGGUUAUGAACAUAUGCGCAGAUCUUGUGCCAUAUUGGAUUAGAUUAUGAGCGUAUGUAUCUUAACUUUACCUUGUUGGCCGAGGCACUUUGCCAUCCUCAGCUGACUGAUUACAGCCUGACCACAGUUCUAGUCGUGCCUCAAUCGCCUCACAUGUGAUUUUCUAACAUGUGUGAUCAAGCCGAGCCAUGCUUAGUGCUUGAUAAAAUGGAUUGGACACGAGGUCAACAUCUACAGAUCCCUUCAUUCCUUGAAUCUCUAUUAUUUUUCUUGGACUUGGAUUCCCUGGCUAACCACGAGUUAAUUGUGAUGUUAUUCGACAUCCAUCCUCGUCUUAUGUGCUAGGAAUUGCUAUCCAUUUGUCCACCGUUCUCAACAGACUCAGAUAGUACAGUGUUAUCAGAAAAAAACAAAUUGCACACAUGUAGCCUUAUGUGUUCUUCUAGCUGAUGUCGUCUCUAUUGAUGGACAUCCCUAAUUAGCUUAAAAUGAUACAUGCUAUACCCACUUGAGGAACCAACAUCUUGGAGUACUCAUCUCUACUCGGAACUGUCUUAUGCUAUCGCUAUUAUGGACAGGGUUACACGCCUCUCUACUCUUAGAAGUCUUUCGUUCUGAAUCUCGGGACGAGAUUCUUUUAAGGGGGGAGGGUUGUAACACCCCAGGUGUUUAUCGUCUGCUCGACCACGAGUGCGGACUUUAACAUGUGAUAGCGGUGAAUAAAAUGGACACUAAAUUUUAAUCAUCUUCGUCGAUCACGAUUUCGAUAUCGUGUCUGUCUCCAUCUGUUUAAAUUGUCCUAAAUUAUUUCGCAAAAAUUCAGACUUCAGUAAUUUUCGGAACAUCGAAUCCAGUAUCGUUUGGGUUAAGCCAUCAACGUCUUGCCCAAACUUUAAUUCUGGAAAUCGGAUCUAGUUUCUUAAACUGCAUUUGAAAUCCUUUCACGCUUAUGUUGCCCGUGUCUCUCUGUGGCCUGGCAUCGUGGCGCGUGGCUGGUGUUAACCGGUGUCUGGACAGCGCACAACCUCUCGCCCACGUGAACGUUGCGUGAGGUCGAUUCCGAAAGGGAUCACAAUUUCGAUGCUUAUCGAUCUGACAUAUUUAUUUCGCGAGAUGUUGAGUCUACACUAUUCGGAUAUCAUGUGAUCUUCGUCCGAACUCAACUGGGUCGAAAAUAUAUUAUAAAUAUUAGAGCCAAAGUCGUCGUUCGAUCUGAGUGCAUAUCGCCCUGGUCCAAACGUACGGGUAUAAAUAGUUGGUAAAAUUUAUCUUUUUCUGGGCGCGUCUACCAAAUCGAGCGGUCCAAAUUUAUGUUAUCGGUCUCAUUUAAUUCAACAUAUUUAUACAUCAUUUAGAAUUGAAUUUCAGAACCUAGAAUAUCUAUGUUUACUUUUGUUAAGAAUGAAAUAAGAGAAAAAUCUCUCUUCAGUUUUCCUCUCCACCGCUCUUCCCUAUACUUUAUCCACGCUCUUCAAUUGUUCUAGCCAACGUCUUUUGUUUUCCCUGAAGUCAUUGACAGCACUCACAUCUUUCCAUUAACCUCACACCUAUUUAAUUCCCUAGAAAUCACCGUCGUUCUUAUCCCUAGGAAAAUCAUCGACACGAGCGCUCUCUGGAAUCCUCUCCUUGAUUCCCCGUCGUUCCUACCAGUGCACAUACUCAGCUUUCUGGAAUGGUCUCGUUUGUCUGCUAUCUCCUUAUCCACGCUGCCCCAUUAUCUCCCUGAAGCUGCCAACGUCGUUUCUCUCUCCCUCAUCCUCGCAGAGCUGCCUCUCCCUUCCUAUCGGUCACAUGCGUGCAUACUCCUCUGGCCGCCGAGCACCGAGCUCACACCGGCCACUACCUCAGGCCACCAUGCCGCUUGCCCCAGCCCCAUCUCUGCAGCUCGCCCGAGCUCCCUGCGCGCUCCGCUUCCUGUUCCUGGCGCCGGAUCCCCUCCCACACGCGUCCUCUUCUCCGCUUGGCAUCCAUGGAGUCGUCGGCCAUCUCCCCUGCGUCGAGCGCCCUCUUCUCCCUGGUGCUCGCCCCUCCUCAGGUCCGCGCUCGCCCAGCUCGCGCCCACUCCUAGCUCGGUCUCCACCUCCGUUUCCUCUCCCUGUCCGACCAAGCACACCUCGUCGUCGAUUUCCUUCACUGGACCGCGCCCUGCUCGGUUUCCUGCAGCACAUGUCCAGCCCAUGCUCCCAAGGUUAUGGAGCAGCAACAACUAUGAAACCCCCUUCGUGUCGCGCCCUCGAUGUGCUUGAUGAAAUACCGCAGCGAGCUCCACCUCGAUCUAUGCCGACCCGAUCACCACUUCGUCGAACCCCGGUGAGAACCCGUUGUUUUUCUUGUGUUUAUUCCUCGCUAGUACAUGUACUCGGUGUAGAUUAAGUAGAGGCUAACCAUGUGUAUGUUUGUGUAUGCUUGUGAGGAGAGAAACCCCUAGGUUCUGACGGUGAAGAACCGAAGCCCGUGUGACGAUUAGUAAGUGUUCGGUAGAAGGACCGAACCCAAAACCUUCGCUGUGUUCGCGGACGUCGCUUCGAGUUUAGUCAUGGUAAGUCGAUCCGUUGUAUCCGUUAAUCGAAUAAAUGGUUGAUUUGUAUGGAGUCGAUAUUUGUGCUAAAUGAAAUGUGCAUAGUGUCAAGAAAACGGUUCUCCGUCGUGACAUGAUUUUUAGAUUUGGAUUGUUUGAUUAAGUAAAACUGAGAAUCAGCUCUUAGUAAUUAUAAAGAAGUUAUAGUACGUUUUAUAGGCUUUCCAAAAAGUCUUGGAUCACCCCUUUUGGUGGUCUAGAAGUCAAGUUAUGGCUGUUUGAAAUGUAAUGUUUGAAUCUGUCAAAAAUCUAGACAGCAAUGUGUGUUUGAAUUAACUGACUUUGAUACACAUUGAAUCACCUUGAGAUGAUUAUAAAUGAAUUAUAGACAAUUAUAUUAGCUUUCUAAAAAGUCUAGGAUCACCUAAUUUGGAUGUCUGAAACUCCAGUUAUGGAAUUUUAAAGUGAGUGGCCGAAUUCUGUCCAAAUCUGGACAGAAAUUGCGUUUAGUACUGUUUGACAUUUCUAUAUGUCGAAUCUCACUGUGAUGAUAAUACCAAAAUUGUGGAGGACUUUAUAAGCUUUCCAAAAAGUCUUAGUUUACUAUUUUUGGAUGAAUAUUGUGUAAGUUAUGAAUAAAACAACUAGCUGCUGUUUUGCUGUCCAAAAUCAGCAAGCAUUAAGUGGAUUUCUUGAAGUUGCUCUUGUUUGGCUAGGUCAUUUUUUUACCCUUGAUUGAUGACAACUUGUUGCAUAUGAAGUGUUUAUCGAAAUGCCUUGUUAUAUUUGAUUAAUUCAUUUCCUUCUUAUUGUUUGACUAAGUAAAUUUAGUUAGUUCUUGAUUGAUGAAGUCUUGUACUUGCUAAAUUCAAGUGAACAAGUGUCCCAAGCUUAAGGUGCUAUACUCAGUAAUCUAAGGAAAGUAUGGAACACUUAUUAUAUUUCAUCUUGUAUGCUUUAGAUCUUUAAUUGUUGAGGAUGUAAAUUCUAUGGAACUUUAUGUUGUGUGAUAAGUGUUCUACUUGUGUGAUUGAAUAGAAAUGUGAUGAUUUAUUAGUUGGUGUGUUACAAUAAGUUAAUUUGGGAAAGAAGUUUAGGAAACUAGUUAAGCUACUCAUAUCUUUAAUCUAAGUCUGAGGUGACUAUCACUAGUGAACCUAAGUUCUAGUAAUCCUUUGAGAUGU
This 28199-nucleotide long non-coding RNA is filed under the name Zea mays. RNAcentral's name for it is "long non-coding RNA (ZMAY_LNC005571)". Lineage: Eukaryota; Viridiplantae; Streptophyta; Magnoliopsida; Poales; Poaceae. The record is from RNAcentral.